Molecule: transfer RNA, 23 nt
Filed under: Sciurus vulgaris (Eurasian red squirrel)
Lineage: Eukaryota; Metazoa; Chordata; Mammalia; Rodentia; Sciuridae
Description: partial tRNA-Pro
Source: RNAcentral
AGGGAGUAGUUUAAAGUAAGAAU